Molecule: transfer RNA, 92 nt
Filed under: Actinomycetota bacterium
Lineage: Bacteria; Bacillati; Actinomycetota
Description: Actinobacteria bacterium tRNA-Ser
Rfam family: tRNA
About the family: Transfer RNA (tRNA) molecules are approximately 80 nucleotides in length. Their secondary structure includes four short double-helical elements and three loops (D, anti-codon, and T loops).
Source: RNAcentral
GGAGGCGUGCCAGAGCGGCCGAAUGGGGCUCACUGCUAAUGAGUUGUCCCCCCCAAAGGGGACCGGAGGUUCAAAUCCUCUCGCCUCCGCCA